RNAcentral lists this unclassified non-coding RNA (413 nucleotides) under uncultured Elaphomyces. RNAcentral's name for it is "sequence contains ITS2". The stretch from base 1 to 155 matches the Rfam family "5.8S ribosomal RNA". Lineage: Eukaryota; Fungi; Ascomycota; Eurotiomycetes; Eurotiales; Elaphomycetaceae. The record is from RNAcentral.
AACUUUUGGCAAUGGAUCUCUUGGUUCUGGCAUCGAUGAAGAACGCAGCGAAAUGCGAUAAGUAAUGUGAAUUGCAGAAUUUCAGUGAGUCAUCGAAUCUUUGAACGCACAUUGCGCCCCCCGGUUUCCCGGGGGGCAUGCCUGUCCGAGCGUCAUUGCCAUCCCCUCAAGCUUCCGCUUGGCUGGUUGGGCCGGCGUCCACCCGUGGCUCCCGCCGUGGGGGGACGGGCCCGAAAGGCAGUGGCGGCUCCUGGGGACUUGGGUCCUUUGGGCGGUGAUGCAUGGGUCUCUUCAUCCACCGUCCCACGGGUCCUGCCCCGGGAGUCUGUCGAACGAUCGGUCUUCCCCUGUAGGUUGACCUCGGAUCAGGUAGGGAUACCCGCUGAACUUAAGCAUAUCAAUAAGCGGAGGCU